Molecule: ribosomal RNA, 1361 nt
Filed under: Rhynolaccus formicarius
Lineage: Eukaryota; Metazoa; Arthropoda; Insecta; Coleoptera; Brentidae
Description: partial 16S ribosomal RNA
Source: RNAcentral
UGGCGGUAUUUUAGUCCUUUUAGAGGAACCUGUUCUAUAAUUGAUGAUCCACGAUUAGAAGUACUUAUUUUAAAAGUUUAUAUAUCGCUGUAGAUUAAAUAUUUUUAAAGAAAUUUAAUGUUUAAGAUUUUUAAUUUAAAAAAUAAAUCAAGUCAAGAUAUAGCUUAUAAGUAAGAAGAGAUGGGUUACAAUAAAUUUAUUUAAAUGGUUUAAUAUUUUAAAAUUAUUAAUAAAGUGGAUUUAACAGUAAAAUUAAUUAUUUUAUUAAUUUGAUUUGAGCUCUAAAAUAUGUACAUAUCGCCCGUCACUUUCAUUAUAAAGUGGAAUAAGUCGUAACAUAGUAGAUGUACUGGAAAGUGUAUCUAGAAAACAAAUUAGAGCUUGAUUAAAGCAUUUUAUUUACAUUAAAAAGAUUAUUAAUAUUAAUAUAAUUUGAAUAAAUAAAAUUAUUUAUAUUAUAAAAUUUUAUUUAAUUUAAAUUAAAUACAUUUUUGUUUUAUUAUUUUUUAAGAAAAAAUUUUAUAAUUUAAUAGUUAAAUAGUAUUGUUUAAGAAAUUUUUUAUAUAUAAAGAAGAAAAAAUUAUUUUUGUACCUUGUGUAUCAGGGUUUAUUAAUAAAAUUUUAAUAAAUUAAUUUUCUCGAAUUUAAUAGAGCUAUUUAAAUAUCUUUUUUAUUGUGUCAUAAAUAAUAUUAAUAUUUAAAUUGAAAUGAAAUGUUAUUCGUUUUUAAAUAUAUCUAGUUUUUUAAGAAAUAAAUUUAAUUUAUUUUUUAUUAAUAAAUUUUUUUUGUUUAUAAUAAUUUAUUAAUAAAAUAUAAAAUUUUUGGGGAUGAGCUUAAAAAUUUAUUAUUAAAAAUUUAAUUAAAUAUAAUUAAUAAUAAGUAAAAUUAAUAAUUUUUAUCUUUAAGAAAUUGUUAUAAUUUGUUAUUAAAAUAAUAAAAUUUAUAUUAAUUUAUUUUAAUUUUUUUAUUAAAAUAUUAAUUAUUAUUAAAUGUAUUAAGAAAUAAUGAUAAAAUUAGUAUAUUUAUUUGUUAUAAAUAUUUUAAUUUUAGGUUUUAUAAAGGAAUUCGGCAAAAUAUUUUUCACCUGUUUAAUAAAAACAUGUCUUUUUGAUAUUUAUAAAAAGUCUAGCCUGCCCAAUGAUUAAUUAUUUAAUGGCCGCAGGAUAUUUACUGUGCAAAGGUAGCAUAAUCAUUAGUUUUUUAAUUGAAAGCUGGAAUGAAGGGUUGGAUGAGAAAAUAACUGUCUCUAUAAAAUUUUAUUAGAAUUUUAUUUUUAAGUUAAAAAGCUUAAAUAUUUUUAGAAGACGAGAAGACCCUAUAGAAUUUUAUAAAAUUUUACUUUUUUAAGUAUUAGUAAUUUU